RNAcentral lists this ribosomal RNA (490 nucleotides) under uncultured bacterium. RNAcentral describes it as "bacterial SSU rRNA". It matches the Rfam family "Bacterial small subunit ribosomal RNA", at positions 29 to 507 of the family's 1533-position model. The record is from RNAcentral.
AUGAACGCUAGCUACAGGCUUAACACAUGCAAGUCGAGGGGCAGCAUGGUCUUAGCUUGCUAAGGCCGAUGGCGACCGGCGCACGGGUGAGUAACACGUAUCCAACCUGCCGUCUACUCUUGGACAGCCUUCUGAAAAGGAAGAUUAAUACAAGAUGGCAUCAUGAGUCCGCAUGUUCACAUGAUUAAAGGUAUUCCGGUAGACGAUGGGGAUGCGUUCCAUUAGAUAGUAGGCGGGGUAACGGCCCACCUAGUCUUCGAUGGAUAGGGGUUCUGAGAGGAAGGUCCCCCACAUUGGAACUGAGACACGGUCCAAACUCCUACGGGAGGCAGCAGUGAGGAAUAUUGGUCAAUGGGCGAGAGCCUGAACCAGCCAAGUAGCGUGAAGGAUGACUGCCCUAUGGGUUGUAAACUUCUUUUAUAAAGGAAUAAAGUCGGGUAUGCAUACCCGUUUGCAUGUACUUUAUGAAUAAGGAUCGGCUAACUCCGUG